Bombina bombina (fire-bellied toad) is the source of this 490-nucleotide long non-coding RNA. RefSeq lists it as uncharacterized. The transcript has 3 exons. The record is from RefSeq and is a predicted model, not a curated record. NCBI's taxonomy places the organism in Eukaryota, Metazoa, Chordata, Amphibia, Anura, Bombinatoridae.
AAACUAUAAUCUAAGAAAAAAAUGUUGCUGGGCUGCCCAUUAGUCUGUUGUGGACACUUGAUAGCCAACACCCUGCAUUAGCCACAAGAAAAAACAACAACUAGAUGUGCAUGAAGUAGCAGCCUAAAUCAAUACUUUGUCAAUAUAUGUAGCUUUCAUUUCAUCAUUCUUCAUCAUCAAGCGAGCUACACAUCUGACUAUUGAAGGAAGCUGAUCAGAACGUCAAAAAGCACUUUUGUUGGCACAGAAUAGCUAAUCAGAUGUAAUCCACAGGGGGAAAAGAAACAAACAAAAUAUCCAAAAUGGAAAAAAAUCCAAGGGGUCCUAAUCAGAAAAAUCCAAGUGGAAAACAAAAUCCAAUAGAACAGCCAGGACACCCUUAUGAAAGGGGAAAGAUGACAGGAAAAUAUGAGUGCGCUGCGAAAAACCAUGAAGAACGGAUGGGAGAAAAAUAGGAGCUGCAGCCAUCAAGGAGGAGCAACAACUGCUG